UCUCCGGAUUGGCUUUGGGAAGCUGGCAACGGCCUCCUAUUGCUGAGAAGCUGAUCAAACUUGGUCAUUUAGAGGAAGUAAAAGUCGUAACAAGGUUUCCGUAGGUGAACCUGCGGAAGGAUCAUUAGUGAAUUAAACAUGCUUGGUGUCUUCGCUUCGGCAAGGCCCUUGCUUAACUCACAUCCCAACACCUGUGAACUGUAAGGCGCAUGACUAGGUUCGCCCAAGUCAUCGUCUGCCCUUUUUAACAAACAAUUAAUGUAACAAACGUAGUCUUAUUAUAACCUAAUAAAACUUUCAACAGCGGAUCUCUUGGCUCUCGC
Molecule: unclassified non-coding RNA, 323 nt
Filed under: uncultured fungus
Lineage: Eukaryota; Fungi
Description: sequence contains 18S rRNA gene, ITS1, 5.8S rRNA gene
Rfam family: Eukaryotic small subunit ribosomal RNA (bases 1-127)
Source: RNAcentral